AUAUCAAUAAGCGGAGGAAAAGAAACUAACAAGGAUUCCCCUAGUAACGGCGAGCGAAGCGGGAACAGCUCAAAUUUGAAAUCUGGCCGCGAGGCCCGAGUUGUAAUUUGUAGAGGAUGCCUCGGACGAGACGUCGGCCCAGGUCCCUGGAACGGGGCGUCAUAGAGGGUGAGAAUCCCGUCUCUGGCCGGCCGUCGACUCCAUGUGAGGCUCCUUCGACGAGUCGAGUUGUUUGGGAAUGCAGCUCUAAAUUGGUGGUAAAUUCCAUCUAAAGCUAAAUAUUGGUGCGAGAACCGAUAGCGCACAAGUA
This 310-nucleotide ribosomal RNA is filed under the name uncultured eukaryote. RNAcentral's name for it is "partial large subunit ribosomal RNA". It matches the Rfam family "Eukaryotic large subunit ribosomal RNA", at positions 40 to 350 of the family's 3401-position model. The record is from RNAcentral.